Molecule: unclassified non-coding RNA, 232 nt
Filed under: fungal sp.
Lineage: Eukaryota; Fungi
Description: partial internal transcribed spacer region
Rfam family: Eukaryotic small subunit ribosomal RNA (bases 1-46)
Source: RNAcentral
AAGUCGUAACAAGGUUUCCGUAGGUGAACCUGCGGAAGGAUCAUUAAAGAGUGAGGGUCCUUGUGGCCCAACCUCCCACCCCUUGUCGUUGAAAAACAAUCGUUGCUUUGGCGAAGCGGCUCCGCCGCCCGCCAGGGACCAAAACAUUAAACCUAAACCCUUCCUGAAGAGUAGUCUGAGUGUGAGAAACACAAUUUAAACAAAACUUUCAACAACGGAUCUCUUGGUUCCG